CACGUAGGCGGAUUGGUAAGUUGGGGUGAAAUCCCGGGGCUCAACCCUGGAACUGCCUUUGAUACUGGCGAUCUUGAGUAUGAGAGAGGUAUGUGGAACUCCGAGUGUAGAGGUGAAAUUCGUAGAUAUUCGGAAGAACACCAGUGGCGAAGGCGACAUACUGGCUCAUUACUGACGCUGAGGCGCGAAAGCGUGGGGAGCAAACA
This 206-nucleotide ribosomal RNA is filed under the name uncultured bacterium. RNAcentral describes it as "partial 16S ribosomal RNA". It matches the Rfam family "Bacterial small subunit ribosomal RNA", at positions 568 to 774 of the family's 1533-position model. The record is from RNAcentral.